This is a long non-coding RNA of Tympanuchus pallidicinctus (lesser prairie-chicken), 12570 nucleotides long. RefSeq lists it as uncharacterized. The record is from RefSeq and is a predicted model, not a curated record. NCBI's taxonomy places the organism in Eukaryota, Metazoa, Chordata, Aves, Galliformes, Phasianidae. The transcript is spliced from 5 exons.
ACAAACAUACACCCAUGCAAACUCAUAUAUAUGUGCUUAUAUGUAUGCACAAAGAUAAUGCAUAUUCAUAACUGUGCAGAAAAUGAACUUCCAGGGCACAUUUAAAAAUAGAUGCUCUUGAUGCCUCACAUAGAAAAUUAAGGCUAAGGUUUCUUAAGAAGGCACAGUUUCAUUAGUGUUAGAUUUGUUUAGUGAUUUGCACAAAUGUUACUGAGGAGAAAUGCAAGGUCAGCUUCAACAACACUGUAAAUGGGCACAGCACUUUGAUAUGGUUACUUCCUCGCCCUGCAGCCUAGAUGUGUGCUGCACACCACAGGGUAUGCAUGCCACAGCCCCUGCAACCAACUGGGAUGAUGAGGGAGAAGUCUUAAUUUUUUUUGCCUGUUUAUACUUACAGAAAAGGAAUGACACAUGAUGUCAGUUAAAAAGCUGACCAGAUUUAGUUGGUCUUUGUACCUACCUCUGAGUUUGAACCUGAGGUGUAAGGAUGAUGACUAGUGGGUUUGGUUUAAAUCUCUUUAUCUACUUACAGAAACCCAGAUAGCAGAGUGCAGUUAGAAAAGCUUGGGAACUAUUUGCGUAGUGAGGAAAGGCUGAACUUUCCCUCUUAACUAUCAAAGACAAACAAAGGGCAGAGAAGAAAUAAAGGUAAGAACUAAGGUAAUGAAGAGGUGGCUUUCAUGGCUAACAAGGGCAUAAAUGGUCUGCUAGUAUGCAAGGAAUCUUAAUGGUCUUUGAGGAAAACCAAAGGAAAGAUGCAUCAGAGCAAGGAAGGAGUUGCAUUCUUAAAAACAAAACAAAAAAACAAAACAAACCCUGACCCAACAACCAGUAAUUAAUUUGAUAUUACCUUAUACAUAAUGAAAAUGACAGGUGUGACUCACAAAUAGUACGUGUGUGCUUGCUGCAAAGUCUUUAUGCAAAUAUUUAGAGGAGAGUAACACAACCCUUGUGAUAGUUACUACAGGUGGUAUGUGUGGGCUGAUUCUUACACAUAUCAUUCUUUUCUCUUAAAUGUUCAGAAAUGCCCCCAAGCCUGUGACUGGUGACACUGAAGAACACAAGCUUACGUCUUCAAAGAAUGGAAGGGGCUGGGAAGAAGAUAGGGAUAUUUACUGUUGCAGUAAAUUCAAGGUGAAAGGGAUGAGGCUACAGAUACCAAAUGCUGUUCUCAUCAGAUGUCUCUAUCUAAUGUGAAGCUACAGUGCAGGAGAAUCAAACAUACCAUACAGGAUCUGAUCCAGAAAUCCUUGGUUUCUUCUCUGUUUGUGUCUCCUUAUCCUUCUCAGUGAUAACUGGAAGUUCCUGGUGUCUUCUGGUGUCUAGUGAAACCGCAUGAAUGAUAAUAGAGAGAAAAGGCAUUCACUGAAGAGGAGACAAAUUUCACCUACCAUGUCCAGCACAUUCCUUCCUCUGACAGCUGAAAACUGCUGAUAAUUGCCAGAUGGACCAAAAGAAGCAGUGAGCAGAAGCACCCUUUGAAUUUGAUGAGGACAUUGAUGUGAUCAGAACUCUCAUAAACAAGCCCAUCAGCAGGCAUUGCCUCUGCCAUCUAUCGCACAAUGGAGAAUAGACAAUCCUAGCAUGAAAUUCUUCAAAAGAUUACAUUUGCUUUCCUUCAUCCAACACGGAAUUAGAUUUACAGCAUUUACAGUAUUCAGGAUGAAGAUAUUCAGCAGGCAACAUUUUGGCCAAAACUGAGGAGAUAAGCAUUUUCUUCUUGAGAAAAUGCCAACAAGUACAUAAUUUUAUAACUUCAGCUCAUGUUUCCAAGUACCUCUGAGCAGAGCACAUUUGUGAACAAAUAUCUGUUGAUUAUACCUUUUCUCACAAGAAUACAUCUCUCUCUUCCUUAUACCGGACCCCCUGCUUCAGUGAUGUUACAUAUCCUCUCUCUUCAGUGUUUCAUCCUCAUUUGAUUUUCACAUAUUUCUCUACAUUACUUUCUAUUUUAUUUCUGCACCUAAUCUGCCAAUGUUAAGACUAUAUUGCUAGGAAUGAAGCAUUCUUUCUUUGGUUACAACUUCGAAACUGUGAUCAAGUUGUAAGAAAAGCAGUGUCUAAGCACAGGGAGGAAAUCAAUACCUAUUAUGAGUUGUUUUUAAAGACCACUACUGACCAUGAUUUCAUCGUUUACUCAGGCAAUCUUUUCCAAUGAUUUGUAAUUCUACCAGUUCAUACCACUGUUUAGUCAGAAUCUUUCUUGCUGUGAUUUGGGCUGAUCAUUUCUUGCCCUAUUCACUGGAGAUAUUACCUCAGUCUUUGGAACUAAAUUUUACAUACUUGGAAGAUCAUUAGCUUACCUCCAUGCUCAGCCUUGUCUUUCUUCGGUUAAAGAAUCCCAAAUAAAUCAUCUUACCAUCAUGUGUAUUUGUUUCUAGCCCUCUGAUAAAUUCUUGCUGAUUUGAACUUCCUCCAGUUAUCUAUACAUUUCUACAAAGCUGGUACUCAGCUCUAGACACUGUAUUCCACUUGGUGAACAGAGUAGCAGGAUUAUGAUAUUAUAUUUUGCUUAUACAUCUCAGAAUACAAUUUACCUUCUUCAAUAUCAUAACAUUUUGGGGAAAUCUUCAUUUCGAAGCUCUGUUCUGUAGCCAGAUGCUGCUACCCCAGUUCUACUAGGAACUAGUAGUUCUACUAGGAACUAGUUCUACUCUUUCUACUCUUCCCUUGAAUUUUAGACUAUCAUUUUGAUGAUUUCUCCAAUUUUUCACAAUAUCUUUGAUUCCUAACUCUGUUCUCCAGCACUCCUGAAGUCUCUUUCAGCUGCUCACCUUUGGCAAGCUUAAUCCUAUAGUUCUCUACUCCAUCAUUCAAAUAAUUUAUUCCAGUAUUGCAGAUCCCUCUCAACAUGCUGACAACUUCUCUUUGGCUUCCAAACUUGUCCUACAUAUUGGCUUGUGCCUUCAGAGGAGUUUCUUGGAAGACCCACUGUGUCUCUUUAACUCUCUUUUUCUUGAGCUUUACCAUUAUUAGACCUUAUCUAUGGACCCUGAAUAUGCUGAGUCUUGCUCUCAGGAAGCCUCUUCCUUUCCUAACACUGAAUUAAUGCAAUUCUUGCCAUACUUGCUGCCCUUCUGCUAUAUCUUCGUAGCUAGCUCCUCCCACUUUCAUUACAACCAAAACUAGAAGAUCAUCUUCUCUGGAUGAUCUAAUUAGGACCACAAAAGUGAUGAACAGUAUUGAACAGUGAAGAAAGUCCAAGAAAGCUGAAACUAGGCUGGGAGGCUAGAUAUGAGGAGGCUAAGAGGGGAUUUCAUCAGUGUAUAUUAACAUCUGAAGGCAGAUUCUUUUCAGUGAUGCCUAGUGCCUGAAAAAGAGGCAGUGGGCACAAACUGGAACACAAGGGGUAUCCCUGAAUACCAAAGCACUUCCGUGCUGUGUGAGUGACAGAGCGCUGGCACAGGCUGCCCAGAGGCUGUAGGUUUUCCUCUGUGGAGAUCUCCAGAAGCCACUUGGGCAUGGCCGUGGCUCUUCUGUCUUGCGUGUCCCUGCUUGAGCAGGGGUUGGGCAAGAUGGAUUCAGAGGUACCUGACAACCUCAACCGUGCUGUUAUCCUGUAAUUGCCUAUUGUGGUUGGAACCUACCUCUUUACUUCUUGUAAUGAUAACUGUCUGUUCUUCUCUAUAGCAGUGUUGGUGGGAAUGUCUAGUCAACAAUCCACUCCCCAUAUUUGUACAAACACGUCGGGUAACAAAUAUAAUAAUAAAAAUGUCAUUCUCAUACAGCUGUAAUUGUAUAGGAAUUGCAUUUAUACUGUAAAACUUAUAAUUGCUUCCCCGUUCUUACACUUUUUAAAUGACUGCAUUGAAACAAUAAUGGUUGUUUUAUCUGGCUAUCACGACCUGCCUAAUCAAAGCCUUCUAUCAAGUUUUGAUAACUCCUUUGAAAUUCUUUUAAGGGAUCAAUUUCAACAAGGUGGAGUCUGUUUUCAUCUUCUUUAAUCCUUUGCCAGAAGUGGUGCUUCUGCUGUUUUUGUAGCAGAUUAACUUUUAAAGAAAAAGUACUAGGACAAUCAAAUUAAAGAUAUAAAAGGAAUAUUACUCUUAAAAAAAAGAAAAAGAAAAAAAAAAGAAAAAAAAAAAAGAAAAAAGCAACCUCUACAUAGGCUGGCAUAAAUACAUUGAUGAAAAAUGCUGGACUUUAACAGCAACAUCCCAAAAUUGAAAACUUCUUCAGCCUUACCUAACUGCAAUCAUUCUCAUCUUCAAUGACUUCCAAUCACCCAUAUCCAUUAGAUUCAAGCUACACCUUCUCCACCUUCAUUAAAAUGGGUUUUCCAUGCUGGAUUCAUACUGGUGAAGAAGGUGAAGAGCACAGUGAAUAGAAAGCUCAGCUAAGAGUCUACAGAGAUAUAGAAUCAUAGAACCAUAGUAUCACAAGGUUGGAAAAGACCUACAAGAUCUAGUCCAAAUGUCCUCCUAUCACCAUUACUACCCAAGAAGCUACUAAACCAUACCUUGUAGCACUUCAUCCAGAUGCCAGAGAGAGGCAGAAGAGGCAUUUCUGGUUUUAUCUCCCUGACUGUUGGCAUUGACUUCGUAGCAUAUGUCUAAUGUGUAGGUCAGGUGAGUAAAUCAGGUCUCCUGACCACUGAAGUCAAUGGAGCUCAACAGUGCACCACUGGAGCCAAUUGGAGAUUCUUGGAGUACAGUAUGCUUCCAGCCCAGAAGCCUGGAUUUUCUUCCACUAGAAAUGGAAAAGAGGAGAAAAGUGUGUUUCUGACACAUAACUGUGAUAUGCCUGAGAUGUGCACAUAAGCCAAGGCAUGACUGAGAUGUGCACCAUCUGAGCCCACAGCUUAGGUCUGGCAAUGAGAGAAUGACAUUACCCUCUCCCUCCUCCUCUGAGGUGUAUCAAACAGGUCUCAAAAACUGGCUUAUCAAAUAGAAGAUAUUUCUUUUUUCCAGCUAAAAGGAAAACAGCAACCCAACACUACCUUCAUUUGCUAUUAUCCACAUGAUAUAGCUUGAGAUUGAAAGAUUAAAAAACAAAAACAAAACCUCAAAUAGAUCCAUUAAAAAGCUGAGAUAUGAGGAAAGGUCUUCAAAAACUUUGAUUUUGCAUUAACAGAAAGGUUAAUGAAUCUAGCACAGUUUCAGACACUGGAAGGACUAUUUCAGCUGACAGAAACAACUUGAAGGAAAAUCAGAUAAAUGCUACAGGCAGGUGCCAAAAUAUUUUUAAAUGCAACUUGCAAUGGGCUUCCUGAAAGGGAUUAUUUAGUAGAAAAAGAGGCAAGAUUUCAUCCCUGCCUUUUUUACGAUCCUAUUCUAAAGAUUUCCACAACAAUAGUAUAAUCUAGUUCUUCAGGCCUGAGAAAGGCUUUUAAAUCUGCUCUUUCAGAGGUCUUUUAAAUAUUUUGGCAAUUGGAGUCAUCAUUACAGAUUGGAAGUCUGUUGAAAUGAUACAUUAGAGACAUUUGGCUUUACUUUGCAUUCUUACAGAAAGAAACCAUUCUGAAGGAAAAAGAGAAAGAAUAUAAAAAGAACUUUACUGUCCUGCUGAGAGUCACUUUACCUACUUUUCCCCUGACCAGACGUCCUAUUGGAAAAGCACUGCAAUGGAUACCAGGACUUCAGUGGCAUCCUUUGAACAGGACUCUGUCCUUUUCUUGUCAAAUCCUACUUUUUUUCCCUUCACUGCUUUCUGAUAAUGUUAUUAUCAAAGGUUCCCUUGUAGUGAACAUACGGAUGCUGAAAGAUCCACGAGAGGCUUUCUCUUUGUGUUGAAUUCUUUCAUGUGCUGGAGAAAACAAGGAGUUGGUGCUUGGAGAACAUGGAAGCUCCAGCAGACUGAAAAGGAAAUUGAUUGAUCCAUGGGUCAGCUCCUGCGAGCUCCAGGGCUAGCCUAGGGUUGUCUGCAUAGCGCUGUAACCCAUGGUGUGGUACACUUCUAUACCAUAAUGAUUCAUAGGGAAAACGUUAUCUCCUUGAUUUGCUACAGGACACUGCUGCAUAACUUGCCUCUGAAGUACUAACAGCAGAUUUGCCUUUGUAGUCUUCCUACACCGUACUCUCUCCUCUCCCAUCAGUAACACCAGACUGCCUUCCCUCUGCUCAGAAGCCUUUGAGGUUUUGGAAGGCCACCAAGUGAGACUCAGCUAGGUACUGUGAGAUGACAUUAAUCUGAAGAGUAACAUCAUGCUGCAAUUUUUAAAAGGCUUCUGUGACACUAAGAGUUACAGUAUCCUAGGUCCAUGCUAUAGGAGCAUCUUGGCGUGGAAUAACUCUGUCCAGAAGUUGUAACAGUUUUCCUUGUAAGACUGUAAUUCCUUUAAAUUGGUGAGUACCAUCAUUAGCUCACGAGUAUCAUGAGAGCAGCAGGAGCUCAAGGUGCCAAGAUUUUAAGUGCUUUGCUCAGGAUCAGAGGAAGGCUAGAAAAAGUCAAGAUUUUACCCUUAGUAUGAUAAGUCUGCUCUACACAUGUGCUUCCAACCUGAUGUAGGAACAAGCCUGCCCCAGACCUGCUGGUUUCGAUGGAUUUUUUUUCUAUUAACAUGAAUGUGAUAAAUUUCAGGGUGCAUUCCUACUAUGAAGAGCAAAAGGCAGAAGGUCAGAGAAUGGGGGAAGCAGUAUUUUUGAAUGAAAUACCAUUAAAUGACUGAAUGUUAGUUAGGAAAGAAAAGAAAAUGUGAAGAGAGUCAUGAAGGUAAUAAAAGAAAUGUGAGAUGGUUGAAUCUUGAGAAGGCGAACAAAAGCAAGCUAAUGAAGAUACUAAUAUACCUAAGUAAGUUAAAGUAGUUAAUUAGUUAGGAAACAUGCUUAUGGAGUAUGAAUUAUAACGUCAGUGGGGAAAGGAGGCUGUUUUUCUCCAGAUGAGUGUCCAGGGAUCUGUCAAAUAAGAAAGAGCCUCAAGGCCGAAUUCAGUCGUUAUUUGUAGAUCUUUGAGAAUAUUUUUGCUUCAAUUCUAUUUUGUUAUACUUCUGAUAUUGGUAUCAUUUUUAUAAAAUAUUCAGAUCCUUGUUUUAUAACUUUAGUAUGGAAAACUCAGACAACUGUAUUCCAGUAUUGCAAUAUUGGACAUUUCCACCUCUUUUCCCCUGAACUCCAGACAGGCAUUUUCAGGCUUUUGCCUGGACUGCUUUCUUUCCUGUCUGUUUUUUCUCCACUGAUUUUUUCUUUAGCAUAAUUGAAGUUUACUUUCCAGGUAAUAAGGAGCAAGAAGGACUAUAUUCAGCAAAAUGUAAUAGUAAGACAUUUCUCCCCAUAGAGAUUAGGAGACGUUACAGCAGGUUAACACUCCAGCUGGUGGGUAGCUCAUAUUAAGCUGUGGAUCUUUGAAGCCAAAUGAAUGUUGUGAACUUUCCACCCAUAUCACAGUACAGAAACAUCUGGGUGAAAUAGCAUUGAGCUUACUCACAACGAAAACACACAGAGGAAUACAUGCAUACCUUCUUGCUCAUCUCCAUGGCUGAAAGUUGAGCUGAAGUGUGAAAAAGAUUAAGAAAGCCCCUGGUUUUGAAAUCUCAGGAGAGCUGUUUUUCACUCCUUCUGCAAGAGAAACUGAACUGCUUGAUGAUAAGAUGUUCCUCUCUUCAUAUUUAGCACGUUCUAAAAUGCUCUAAAACCAUACACUGAUAGGUAAAUAAAUAGAUAAAUAGUACAGAGAGAAUACACUUUUCAAUAAGUAAAAGUCAUCAUUUGAAUUUUCCUGGGCAAGCACCAUAUCAGAAGGUGCAAAGAACUUUUGGGGCUACUCAGCUGAAAUCCAUAAGUCUCCCAGUUGCUUCCUCCUGCUUCGAUCCCCAGUCUCUGUUCUGAUACUGUUGGUCACAACGUCAUUCAUUUCAAUGGUUUCUAUGAUGUGUCUAUAUUUCCUGUAGAGCCAAGCUGGAGCUCUGUCUACAUCACAAAGUAUUAUAAGCCUUCAUAAGCUUUAUAAUCAGCAGCAUAUUUAAUAUACGUGUAAGAAGUGACGAUUUUUAAAGUAAAGUCUGAAUGCAAAAUAUAGGUGUUAACUAUUUUAGUUAUGAUCAUCUGAUGUAAUUCUAAAACUUUUGGUUGCCUGAUGGUCUGACAGGAUAUUAAAGAUCCUGAAUUACAUUAAUAGAUCAUCAAAUUACUGAAAUGAAAAUAUUUCAAGUCAUAAAGGAUUCAGAGUGGAAAAGCAGGGAGACGUUAUAGGGGGAAAAGGGCUUAGUAUUUUCAAGAAAAGAAAAGAAAAUAGAUCAUUUACACAACAAAGAGCACACAUUUGUUUAAAACAAGCUGAUGCUGCUGAGACAAUAUUUGGAUGUACUUUCAUGGCGCAGGAUACACAUGUUUUAUCUUAUGUUAUGAAACCUGGAGUGAUGAAUACAAUGCCAUGCAGAAAAUAUUUACCAUGAGCGCAGACACUGUAAAUUCUGGUUUCAGCUUCAGCAAAUCCAUACCUCAUGAUGUAAUAAACUUGUUAAUUUCAUUUAGGUUCCAACCUGUCAUGAUCAGAGCUUAUGUUUUUUUCUGUAUCUGUACCACACCUACCAUGUAGUAUCAGAGGAAGUUGCAGUGAUAUCUAUAAAAAAACCUUUACUUAAUAUUUAUUACAUAUUUAAUAUAAGUUACUAAUAAUAAUAAUUGUACUUAUGAUAUCAACAAGUUACUGCUGCAAAGCACUUCCCAAGAUACAAACUAUGCUUUUGUCAUGUCUGUUUUCGAAGAUAAGGUUCAAUGCAAUAGCAGCUGAUUAAAAGAUUGCACUGUUUUAAAAUCAAUAUAUGUCUUUCUUUUCUGCCUGUCUUUCUGUAACUCCUUUUUUCUUUUCUCCUGGUUUAUCCCUGACCUUCUUUUAUUUCUGUUUCCAGUUUAUUAAAAUUUUCCUCUCUUCUUGGCAUGAGAAAUGGACUUGUGGCCUAGAGACUUUCAAACAUACUUCUGUAGCCAUGGAUUUCACAUACCUAGCCUGCUGUCUGCACUGUAUUUAAACUGAAAGGUUAUACUGAAGAAAAUAUUUCUGGAAAAAUUUAUGAACUAAAAGUACUUUACAACCGUUUAUAAUAGCAUGGCACUGGUACUGAAGGACAAAUGGAUCCGGUAGGCAGGAUACACCAGCUGUGUUUGCCAGCCUUGUUAACACUCCUAUGAGCUGCUGCAGAGAUUAAAGAGCAGAGCAAGCAAACGGAAGGAAAUGGAGCAGAGCGCAGCUUUACUUUGCUUUGCUUUGCUAUCCUCCCUUCCUCUCCCCCAUUUUUGACUUUUACUUCCUUUACUUACAGGAAAAUCAAGUUGUGUGCAGGUGGCAAGCAAUCUGAAAGAACGUAGCUUUUCCUUCCAUUAACUGAAGAAGUGAAUGGUUAUUUAUCAAAAGUUUCCAUCUUUUUCACUAAGCAAAAGUUUCUUAACUCUUUCUUACUUUUCGCCCUUGUUGCUAUUUUAAUACUUUCCCUUUCGUUUAGACUUAUUUUUAUUGAAGAACCAUCAUUCACCAACAUCAACAGAUAUUAAGAACAAGUAGUACGAUCCAUUGGCAGAUCUGAAUUUUCAUUAUUUUCUAAGAACAAGGAAAUUACCUUCAGAUCACUACUGACAGAGUUUGGAAUUACCAUUUCACAGAGAUAACUAUGGCCAUAGGAUGGCACAAAGAGCAGUCAGAUAAUCAUCUGCUUUGAUACCAAGAGUCUGAUUGUCAUUCCUGGCUGUAGUGACACCAUUUGUACUUUACAGUGCCAAUUUUUUUUCCAACACAACUGCCACAUUGUGCCCAACAUAGCAGAUGUCAUGUUUAGUGCACCAACCAUGGGUCUAACAUCUCCAACCCAACAUCAUUCCUUGCAGAUGAAGGAAGUGGUCAAAUUACUGUCUGGCUAAUAUUUAUUCAAAGAUUUUUUGUUUGUUUGUCUGGUUAUAAUGUUACUUUUUGUUUUAUUUUUAUCUUUAAUUGUUCCACUGGAGCAAAUGAUAGCAUCUAGAUUCAUUCACUGUCCGGGCAUUAAGCAGCCAGUCACUGAAAUGCACAGUGGAACUCCUGUUGUACAAUUUUAUAUUUAAGUGUUGUUUGCAUGUCAUUGUAAAGGUCCUAGCUGUUUUGUUUAUUACUUAGGUAGUCAAGAGACCUGUUUAGCAUACAUGACUAUAGUUCGAAUGCUACAGAUACCAAUACAUACGAAUAUUAAUGCAAGGUGCUCCAUCUUCUUGCAAAUAUUCUUGUCAAUACUUCACACUCAAAAAUUAUGAGCCAGGAGGAAAUAUGAAUGUCACUAAUGAAAACCAAUGCCCUUCAUUUUCUACAGCAUCAGGAAUGCCUUUCAAUCUAUUUCCUCAGCUGUGUGGACUCUCAGUGGAGUGACACUCUCAAGACAUUACAGCCUUCCUCUACAUACAGUAAUAAUCUAGAAAAAAUCACAUUCAUCAUUUCUUAAUAUUUGCUUUUAUUUAGCUAUAAGCAAACUCAAAUGAUAUGCUGUUCAAUUUCCAACAGGAUUUGGGGUCCAGACUGAGCAAAGUGACUUACAGGAAUUCAUAUAAGAUGAGAUAGUCGUAUAUUUUAUCCCACCCACCUCUGCAAAAACAUCAAGGCUGUAGUGUUCCAAAACAUGUGGUUUUGUGUGUCGAGCAUUUAGGCUGUUAUGGGACCAAUUUCCUUCAGAUUAAGUUGCUCAGUUCUCAUAAGAUCCAGCCACACCAGGUGGUUACCACCUGAAUAGCCCUUUCACCUUGGUAAAUCCAUCCCAGCACUCUCUCCAGCUUUGGCAGAAGCAGCGACUUGAAGUUAGAAACAGUGCCCUGGAGCUUCUUGUGACACCAUCUCUAGAACCAAACUUAUAAAUUAAGUAGCGAGAUUGGAAUUUCCCCCAGGUAACUACGCUGUCGUCUUCACAACUGCUCUCCAGCUGCACAAGUCGUAAUGGUAUAUGCAGCACCAUGUGCUACCAACAACUGCCAGGAAAAGUAGCCACAAGACAUCCUGAAAUGACUGUAUUUAUUUCUUUUAAUACUACAUGCAUCUUUGGCUUUCCUGCAUUAGUGGCCAACUGACUUGUUCAAGGAAUUAUGAACACCAGCUGAAAGAAACAACAUCUACCCUGUCACCAAAAGUAAAACUCUUGGUGGCCUGGAAGACACACACAAACACAUCUGUUGUAGGAAACUGAUGACAAAGAAUCAACCAGAACAUGUACAGCAAGAAACAGUGCGGGCCCACAGACUUUGAUGGGAGUGGUGGCAGCAUCUCAGAGAUGUUUAAACCUCAAGAGAAAUGAUGCUCUGAAUAUUUGCUGUUCUCCUGUGCUGUGUCCUCCAAACAUUUAAGAUAUGGAACAGAAGCUAUAUGGGGAAGUUCCUUCAGAACUCUUCAAAAAGGAGAUGAGAUCACAGGAACAGAGCAUGAGGCUGAACCCUCAUUACACAUGAGUAGGGCUACCUGCUUCCAUAGGGCAGUUCUUCUUCUGUUUCGGGACCUCCCACAUUCCUCCCAAAUCACUUCUUUGAAGAGAAGGCUAAAUAGUAAUCUAGAUUGUAACUGCAGAUGUCUGGAUUUUCUGCCCAUUCCUUCAAUUUAGUAAUGCUUACUGAACAGGUAAAUGUCAUGUUAACCUCGACGAAUAUUUGCACUGUGUUUAUUCUGAAUUCAGAAGCAAAUGUAUCAGCAAGCACUUGUGUCCCAAAGAAAAAGCAUGUGGAUUUGAAUCCAUCUCGUUUCCACAAAAGGGAAAACGGAGGUAGACUUUCUCAGAAGCUUCUAGAAGCACCAAAGAAAAGAAAGUGGGUAAAAUGGAAUCAACUGUGUUGUAGAGACAGUUGAAGCGGUCUCUAUAAACAAGCCCCCAAGUUUGAUUUAGGAAAAAAAAAAAAGACAUGCUACUCUGAACAGACCUUUUCUGCUCUAUGAGCUUCAGUUGGAAAACCUGGAGAAAACUUAGAGAAACACAGAAAAAAAAGAAAAAAGAAAAAAGAAAAAAAAAACCUGAGCAGAUCAUUUACAAGGAAUAUUGAAAGCAUUAAAUUAUUUGAGCUUGGCUAAACAAUGGCACAACAACAUUUUCAGUCUACAAGUCUAUUUUUAAACUUUAUUUUUAAACGAUGUUUUUACAGUGAGGCAGUUUGUAAGUGAAGUGACUCUGUAGGCGACUCCUUUUAAUACAACAUCUCCCUGGCAACAAGACCAGCAAAAAUAGAAAAAGAGAUUAGAUGACCAAUUGUUUCUUCCAUCUCUCAUGUCUUCAAUUCCUUUGCUGGAUGGCUGAUGCAGAGCUCGGACUCAGCGACUCCUCUGGGUGGGUGAACCUCGAUUCGGUAUGUUGCCUUUGGCAAAAGUCAUUACAUGCAGCUACAAGGUAUGCGAUGCUGAUAUCGUAUGGCUGUAAAAGGAGAAAAAAAUUUCUUUGAAGUGCCAACAGAAAGUCUUGGCUAUCGCGGGACCAAAAUUUCAGCAUUUCCUUAUGAAUAUUUUUAAGAUCUAACUUAAGGAAACAACAAGGAGAUUUUGGGAAGAAUCGACAAUUGAUCCAGGAACCAUGGCUGGGAACGGUUCCUUGGAAAAGCAUCCAGCGCAGCCCUGAACUUCAUGGAUGCUGCAGCAGCACAGAACAGAUGAUGGAGAAAAUGCAGAUGCAUUAUUGACUGAGACAAAUAAAAGGUGCUCAAAAUCAAA